RNAcentral lists this ribosomal RNA (700 nucleotides) under uncultured bacterium. RNAcentral describes it as "bacterial SSU rRNA". It matches the Rfam family "Bacterial small subunit ribosomal RNA", at positions 8 to 695 of the family's 1533-position model. The record is from RNAcentral.
AGAGUUUGAUCCUGGCUCAGAUUGAACGCUGGCGGCAGGCUUAACACAUGCAAGUCGAGCGGUAACAGAGAGUAGUUUACUAUUCUGCUGACGAGCGGCGGACGGGUGAGUAAUGCCUAGGAAUCUGCCUAGUAGUGGGGGAUAACUUGCCGAAAGGUAAGCUAAUACCGCAUACGUCCUACGGGAGAAAGCAGGGGACUCUUCGGAGCCUUGCGCUAUUAGAUGAGCCUAGGUCGGAUUAGUUAGUUGGUGAGGUAAUGGCUCACCAAGACUGCGAUCCGUAACUGGUCUGAGAGGAUGAUCAGUCACACUGGAACUGAGACACGGUCCAGACUCCUACGGGAGGCAGCAGUGGGGAAUAUUGGACAAUGGGGGAAACCCUGAUCCAGCCAUGCCGCGUGUGUGAAGAAGGUCUUAGGAUUGUAAAGCACUUUAAGUUGGGAGGAAGGGCAGUUAACUAAUACUUGACUGUUUUGACGUUACCGACAGAAUAAGCACCGGCUAACUUCGUGCCAGCAGCCGCGGUAAUACGAAGGGUGUAAGCGUUAAUCGGAAUUACUGGGCGUAAAGCGCGCGUAGGUGGUUCGUUAAGUUAGGAGUGAAAGCCCCGGGCUCAACCUGGGAAUUGCUUCUAAAACUGGCGAGCUAGAGUAUGGUAGAGAGUGGUGGAAUUUCCUGUGUAGCGGUGAAAUGCGUAGAU